GGCUGGUACGAGUGCAGUGGUGUUUACAACUAAUUGAUCACAACCAGUUAUAGAUUCCUUUGUUUCUUCUCCACUCCCACUGCUUCACUUAACUAGCCUUAA
This 102-nucleotide Y RNA is filed under the name Propithecus coquereli (Coquerel's sifaka). Its description in RNAcentral is "Y RNA (ENSPCOG00000007845.1)". It matches the Rfam family "Y RNA". From Rfam's summary of the family: Y RNAs are components of the Ro ribonucleoprotein particle (Ro RNP), in association with Ro60 and La proteins. The Y RNAs and Ro60 and La proteins are well conserved, but the function of the Ro RNP is not known. The record is from Rfam by way of RNAcentral. Lineage: Eukaryota; Metazoa; Chordata; Mammalia; Primates; Indriidae.